CUUCGCCCACCACGUGCCCAGUGUAUGCUCCCUCUCAUACACACACGCGCACAUCUUCGACUCCCCACACCCCUCAGUGCAUGGCAUCCGCUGCCCGCUCUGUGUGCACGAAAGCCAAGCAGCCUCCCCCUAUCCCCUGCCAAUGCCGAACCACCUCUGGUGGUGCCACGGCUAAGCGCCUGCGACGUCGGGGAGUCAAAGCGCUUCAUCGCUGUUGAUGUCGGCGGUGAUGUCCUGGAUGGCACCGUGCCGGAGCGACCUGCGACGGUGAGCACGCUUGUGCCAUCCAUGUGUCGGCGACGUGUCGGCGUCGCUCGAACGCGUAUCCCACCCCCGGCCCACGCACUGCCUUACUGGCGUGAGGGGCCUGAGUGCCACCCCGAGGGGGAUGUACACCAGGUGUGGUGACCGGCAUGAUGGGGGAGCCGCUGUGAGGCGACCUGCGGAGCCGAGUGUGGGUAGAGCUCGAGGCCGAGGCCGAGGCCGAGGCCGUGCUCAGGUGGCUGAGUGGACGCAGUGCUGUAAGGCGCGUGCCCCCAGGGCUGCUUGGCACGACGCGAUGGUGCCUGCGACGGUCCCGGGGCGGGGUGUUGGGGGCCGAGUGGCGCUUGACCUCGUGCUGUACGGCAGCGACAUGGGCACGUUGAACGAAACCGGAAAAGUGGGCCGCACACAUACAGGCAAAGCAUAGAAAGAAAGCUGCGCAUCAUUGCGAGGUGCUCAGCGUUGCGUUUGGUGUCUCUUGCGUUUCUGCCGCUGCUUCAUAUCUCUCUCUUUCUGUGUGCCUGCGCGGGUCCUUCCCCUCUUCCUUUUCUCCCGUUUUCGUUUGGGAGGGGGAGUGCAUUGCAGAAAAGGGAAUUAUCAAAGAGGCUGAGGGUGCCCUGUGGAAAACCGCCAAAAGCGACACAAUAUGCUGCUAUCGGUGUGUGAAGUAAAAAAGAACAAACAAGCAGCGCGCACCUUUCCUCUCCUUAUUUAUUUCACAUCGGAAACUGCCCCCUCCCUCUUUCCUCUCCGCUCUCGCUCACCUAUUCACGCACACGCCCACAUGUCUCCGUACGCGGUCGGCAUCGAAGACCGUAUUUCAAGGAAUGGAUCGCGUCGACUUGACUGUUACUCUUUCUCUCUUAUCUGUUAUGCGUGUGCCGGCGCGUCGCGUGAUUCUCUCCCUCGGAGCAUAUCUUUGCGUUUCUUGUGAGCCAUCGUAUUCCUCUUUCUGCGCUCGUUUCCCGUGCCAUGUGACUUUAUGUUGCUCCAGCAGCCUCUACACCCCUUUCUCGUUCCUUUCCUCUUGUGCAUCUCUUUUCACGGGUAUGACCGCACACACGCGCUUGCGCACGCACACGCAAUGAACGCUGAGUUGUCCCCUUUUUAUCAUUUUUUUCUCAGGCCCGUUGGACUCUCUGGAUUUCAUUUUGUGUUUUCUGCUUCGCCGUGCUGCGCUCUCCAUCUGUCUCCCGUCUUGCACCCGCUCGUGUAUGGAAACCCUCUUCCUCCAACGCACGCGCACACACCGAUGCGUGCUUCUCUUGGUUGCGCUCCCUUAGGGAGCGUUCGCGUAUGACACAUGAGUGCGUGUGUGUGUGUGCUGGCUUGUGCAAUGGCUUGCAUACGCACCCCCUAACUUCGCCAUCUGUUGCUGCUCUGUCUCACAGCGUCUCUUUUUCGCUGUGCGCAGAGAAGAAGGAUCUCGCGAAAAAGCGCAGCACCAACGAAAAGAAAAAAAGAAAGAGGUCUAAGUGAGAACACAGGAGCGCAUGUGCGGGGAAGCAAGCAAGAAACACCACAAAGACUGAGCGGCGCGAUGGCCCUGAGCAACAUGCCUUGGGACCUUUUUGUUGCACUGGUCAGUCGAGAGCAAGUGUGGGGUCGGGGGUCGGACGCGGUGCAGCCUGCUGUCGCAUAGGGGCGUAGCUCGACACGUCGUUCUCAUCAAUGCCCGCUCUCCGUUGCCGUCGCUUCCUCUUCCUGACAUCCUCUAUGUAGCUCCUUCAUCCGGUUGUCAAGUUCCAAGCACCGCCACGGCUGCAUGCUCGUCCUGGACUAGUGAAGAAUAAAGGUAUCACCACUUUGU
RNAcentral lists this unclassified non-coding RNA (2074 nucleotides) under Leishmania donovani. RNAcentral describes it as "gene:unknown". The record is from RNAcentral. Lineage: Eukaryota; Euglenozoa; Kinetoplastea; Trypanosomatida; Trypanosomatidae.